AAGCUCCAUGUCCUACCCAGACUAGCCUCACCUACAAACUGUAGUAGCUCACAGGCAGUUUGUAGCCAUUCAGGUGAGUGUCCUGUAUCUGUAUGACUUUUAAGUUUUAUUGAAGCUCUUCAGUCAAUUCACCAGUGACCUUGAGAGAUCCUCUCAGAUGUGCUGGCAAUUGUGUAGUUGAUGCAUUUCCAUACAAGGCACUAAACCCUUACAUAUUGGAAAAGUCAUUUGGUCUGUCAGAACUUGCAUGGAAAAAUACAAAUAUUUCAUAAGGACAAGUGGGCAGAUUAUUCUCAGGGUAUUGAUUCCACAUUUUGGUUUGCUGAAAACCUGCUGCUAAAUAGACCUCCCCACUGGAGAGACUGAGCAACAUGGUCAUUUCAGGGAGAGACUCUGGGGAUUUAUUGAUUGGACGUGAGAAUACUAAUCAUGAAAUAGCAUAGAUUGAACAUGCUUUUGUGACUACCAUUUGCAUAUAAAGGUAACAUUUCAAUAUUAGGAAGGGAAGACAUUUCAGAACAUUAACAGUAGCUGUCUCAGAUCGAGUCAUAUUCCUUUACCACUUCUUCAGGCUUCUCAUUUUCCAGGGUCUAGAGAACUGGGACAAUACACAUAUAAUGCUGUCUGUAACAAGUAAGUUAUCAAAUACAUUUGCUAUAUUGGACAGAUACUGAAAAUGAAACUCCUAUCUCCAGCAAACCUAGAGAGUAAUGUUUUCUCUCCCAAACUUACUGGAAAACUGUAUACAUUUUGGGUUUUGAAAUAGCUUUCUGUUUGCUUCUUGUAAUCAAGAAGUUAAUUCAAUUAAUUUCAAUCAAUUUUUGUAAUCAAACACUUUAAACUUGCCUUCCUCUUUACAUAUUAAUUUUGUCAGAUUGAAGUAUUAAAAAAACAAAAAUGAGGAAGCCCUUAAAAUUUUGAGCAAGACUACACUGUUAUAUAGUUUAUCAUAUUUGUAUAUUUUGCCCUUUAUCUUUCUGUUGCGUUAGGGGUUUUUUUGUUUGUUGGGUUUGGGUUUUUUUUUUACUUUGCUUUUUUAGAGUAGCUCAUCAAAGAUAGAACGUGUAUCUUCUUAGGCACUUGCUAGUCCUCUGCUUUGUCAGUGGACCCCCAGGCAUCUCCAGUGGCAGCCCCAACAAAAGGAUUGCAAGCUAUCUGCAGAGGACAGGCAGUUACAUAGGCCUAAAUGGGCUUGGAGGACUUAUGUCUGUGUAUUUUAUCUGGCUUGGGGCAUUUCUCCCUUGUUGGCCACGCCAGCCACCCUGUGAAUUUCAGAGGUCAAGGUGAAGAAAAUAGGCACCUCGUUUGAAACCUGGACCCCAACAAAGCAUUCACUACCUUUUCAGAAGUAUCUAGAUGUAAAGGCUGAGACAAAUAAUAUUUUAGGUUUGUUUGUGCUAGUGAUGUAGGCUAGACCCAAUGAAAGGUCUAAUCUAUGCUUCCAUGCACAAGUGGAUGCAAACUGCACUAAUUCAGUGCAGAACACAGAAUGCUGGAGUUUUCUGUGCUGCUGUACAUUUGGGUAUGUCAAAAGCAACCAGUAUGAAGACACUGCACUUUAAGUAACUCCUGAAGUGUAGUACAGCUUUGUUUAUUAAGGUAGAAAUCAGAAUGGCCCAGACUGAACUCUUCUACUUUAGGUGCAAAUCCCUCUGAUUACGGGCUGAUGGUAUGUUAUACCUUGUGCCUGCUGUUCUCAGUUCCCUGCAGAUGGGAUUCAACAAGGUACCUCAAGCACCAAUAACAUGAAGUACUUUACUAAAUAGGGUCCUGAAAGACAUCAGACCCUUAAAAGCCAGUUUGGCCUGCUGAGAGAUGAGCAACUUCACUCCACAUCUGAUGAGAGGAUCCAAAUUGUCAGUUCAGUGGGAGAAUCUUUCUAUUGUAGGGAUGAAAAGCUCAGGGGAUCUCACUCAUGCUCAGUGGUCUUGUAAUUAAAUGUUACACACUUGAUGAGCAUUACACUGCAAGCCUCAAGGCUAAUUUACAUGUUACCACCAAAAUGUCUUAUUUUAUUUUGCUUGUAAAAAUACUGUGCAGGCAUCAUUGCAUGUCAUUGCAAAUGGUUUGUUAUCAAUGAUGCUUGGGUGACUCAAAAUUACUAAAAGCUGUACAUAAUUACUGCUAAAAAGCCCCAUACAGAACCAAUAGUACUUCCUCUACAGUAGAUAUUUUAUGACUAAGAAGGCUUUCCUGAUGUGACUGACAAUGUUAGGAUCACAAACAAGUAGCCUGCCAGCAAAUAAAGAAUAGCAUUUUGGGGAAACAAAGUAGUUUGAUUCAAUUAUAGUACUACAUGUAUCAUUAAAGCGUAUGUUGCUUUUCUGGGAGUUGUCCAUUAAUUGAAAAUAGGAAGGCAGAGUGGGAGGAAAGAGAGAAAAAUGAAAAUAGGUGGGAGCUUCUUGUAAGCAUGGUGAUAGGUAUGAUGUCAAUAUGAGAUAUUUACUGGCAUAUUUUAAUGCUUUAUGUUGUAAAAGUUGCUUUUACUGAUUUGGGCCACAUGACUCAUGUCACUCUUUACACAAGAUAAGGGAAAGGAGACGAAGUUUCUCAAGACUCUGGGAUCCAUUUAGCACAUACUCCUGUAUCAGCUUCUUGGUCGGAGGAGGUCAUUCCACAAGAAGCAUUUCAGUGCACACGUAUCAGAUGGACUGAACGGCCGUUUCUUACAAUUCUCUAUUUCUUUUUUACUUGACUGACUUCAAAGCAAUGCUAAAGCACUGCAAUCGUUUAUUGGAAUAUAUUAAUAAUAAUAAAUUAUGGUUUCAUUCACUGAAUUCCAGUUCUUAGAAGAAUAAACAACCUUGUGCAGAUGCAGAAGAAAGGCAGAGAAAUAUUAGAUGACUUACCCACAGUCUGCAGCAGGUGAGUGAAAGAAUUAGAUACAGAACCUCUGGCCUCUGGCCUUUCUUUCAAAUAAUCUUUCCUGUGUUUGUGCCACAGUAAAAUGAUUUUGCAUAUGUCCUGUCUCAGAAAUAUGAAAAAUAUAUGCAAUAUGCAAAGCAGCCAAUUGGGCUGCCUUUUGGAAUAUAUCAUCAUUUAUGAACGGUGCAUCUUGAAGCCUAAACAGAUUGUGUGCAAUUAAUUGCAAACUGUCAAAGAGACUACAGCACUUUACUGCCAAUUUGUAAAUAAAACCUACUAUGCAAAAGGACGGAGGCAAGUGAGGUGAGUUUCUCUGGAUAAAGGAAAGGCAAUGCACAAAUGCAGUGCAACACAAUUUUUACACUCCAGCCUUUAAGAAUUUUGCUGACCCUGUAAAAAAAUGGUGUGGUGCAGAGUCAUUGAAUGCAGGUAAGCUUCUCCGUAGGUAAACAUUUUACAUAACCUAAAUGAAGAACUCCCAGCUUACUUGACAAAAGAAUAAAGAAGUCACCAUGUGCAAAAAGAAAAACGUUCUUUUUAGUAAAAUCUUGGAAAAAUACAUGAGCAUUUUUGUACCCUAAAGAUGUGCUGAACAAUGGUGAUGAUGAUGUGCAAACAAAGCAGAUUCCCUUUAUGUCCCAAUUAUGACCCUCAAAUGAUCUUUGUUAUAAAUAUACUCAUCCUGGUGACUGGCCAAUACCUGACUGGAUUCCUUAUCCAGUGCUUUGUAUCACUGCUGUUACCAUCCUACAGCUCAUUGUUCCCCUCAUAAUAUUCAAUAAAUACAAUAUGUUUGGUGCCACUGCUGAUCUGCUGAGCCAGUCAGUGGCCAGCCCAGUGACUCAGUCUUGAUCUCAGCUUCAGAAGAAAAAUGAUGAUGCCUGUCUUUCUAGGUUUGAACCCCCCUCCGGUGAACAGCAUCACAAAUGUGAUACAGACCCUCAGUAAUUACUGAAACAGCAGUUUGUCACAAGCUGCCUGCAGCACUGAUGGACAAUCUGCUUGUGGAUAUAGUUAGAGGAAGGAAUGUGUAAGAAAAUAUGAUAUUUGUGACAGGCUUAACUUGGAUUUUUUGUUUCAGGGGAUGAAAUGUACAUGUGGAGGCAGUGUUGAUGAAGAACUAGUGCUGGAGAUUGCUCGCGUUUCACCAGAAAAGGCUCUCCAGUCCGCAGCUCUCGGAUUUUCCCUCUCGUGUCACUCAAGCAAACUGCCCUGAGCUUCCCUGCUGCCGAGGUCGGAGCAGAGCCACCGCAGCCCUCUGGCCCCCGCCGGGAGCCCGGCACACCAGCACCCGCUCGGAGCCCCGGAGCUGCGGGAGCACAGACACACACACAGACACACACACACACAUACAUACACGAGCUGGGCUCCCCAGCGCUGCCGAGAGCCAAAUGGGAUUUUGCCUGAAUGAGUACUGGGGGGUGGGUGCUCGUUCAGAGCCACAAACAACUCCUUAAAAUACCACGAGUGCUCAGAAGAUGGAAAUUUGCUAUAUUAUGAUUUCAGAAAGCAGCAGAUGAACACUGGACAUAAUGUCAAGUCCUCCUCCCCGCUCUGAACAGCUCACUCAAACCCACUGAGCCUUCUGAACAAUCCAGCUUCAGCCCUUGACUGUUUUCAUUACAUUAUUUUGAUGCACUGUGAUGAAUGCAAGAGAUCACUAUACAUUAAAAGCAGAGUUCAAUAACCAGUAUGGAACAGUGUCCAUAUGCUGGCUGACAGCUUUACCCUACAGUUACUGGGCUAGUAGUUUUCAGCCAAAAGUCAGGAGAAUUUGGUACUCAGUUUUGCCCUCCCAUUCCCCUCUCUCUGCCACUGAAGUAAUCUGAAGUAAUAAUUUUCAACUGAAUAUUUUCAAGUGUUAUCUGUAUCUGUAGUUGCCAGUAAGAGCUCAGCCCUGUUCCUCUUACCACCAGCUCUGCAGAUGCUCCUGGAAAGUGGGCAGGAGACCUCUACCACCCCUGGCUAUUCCCAGCAGGACUCUGAAGUGUUCCAGCUCUGGUGAGGUACCAGUGUGUGGUGAGGAGCACUGAUGCUCUCCUGGGAUACCACCAUAGAGAAAUAACUGCAGCAAGAAUUGUCCCAGUAGAAGUUCAAAGAUCUUAAGUCUGUGACAAGAAAAACAAAUCAAGCUCCUGACCUUGGCAUCAUCGCUCACUUAGGAAUUUUUUGUACCUGAAAGAAAAUCUGCUGAUAUCCCAUGCAAGUAAUAAAUCACCUCACGUCAUCAGUAAAUACAGCUGUAAAACAGACAUCUCAAGAGCACUUCACUGCUGACUGUCUAAAGUAGAUGCGUGGUACUUUGAUCCUCCCUGAGGAGGCUCCUGAUGCCAUUGGUUCCCGCUACAUCCCGUCCCCUCAGAGCCAGCCAGUACCAACCCACGGGCAAACUCGGAUACUUCGCAGACACUCUGAGUAACUUUACAGACGCACAUUUAACUUAGCAGGGCAGUAACAUGAAGAAAGUUUUAUUUAAAGCAGUUUUCAGAAAGAGAGAUCGAUUUCCCAGGCAAAAACUUAUGAACCCCACAGUCGAACAGCACAGCAAAAUAAACUAAAGCCGUUACCAAAAUUCAUAAUGAUUUGCAGAGAAGCCCAGUUUUGGAUGAUAUUCAGUUUCCCAGAGAGGAUGCUACAAACUCCAUGUAAGUUUCUAUCUCUGAACAUAAGUUUUAACUUUAGAAACAGAUCUGCCAGUUAGAAAAUUACUUUGUUCCAGUCGUUUGUUUCUAACGGUUCAUCGGUAAAUUUCUUCAUUUACAAUACCGGGUGAUGAUCUUUUUUGACAGCACAUCCAGAACGAACAGUGGUCAGAUGUCCACAGAGACAAAGCAAUCUUUGCACUUUGGGAAACAACGACAGCCCUACAGCCGCGCUCCGGGCUGGACCCAUCCGUGGGCAGGGCACGUAGUGACUUUCUCUAACAGCGGGGCGCUCUGCCGGCCAGGAAAGGCUCUGGACGCUGUCAAGAGUUUUUUGUUCGGGAAGCCUUGCGGUCUGUUCCUCCCCGGGAUGCGAACGAGACGGCUGAAGGAGACAGCGGAGCCUGGACACCCCGGGGAGGGGGACCCGUGGCGUCCCAUCCCUCGGUGCACUCUCC
This is a long non-coding RNA of Chiroxiphia lanceolata (lance-tailed manakin), 5965 nucleotides long. RefSeq lists it as uncharacterized. The transcript is spliced from 5 exons. The record is from RefSeq and is a predicted model, not a curated record. NCBI's taxonomy places the organism in Eukaryota, Metazoa, Chordata, Aves, Passeriformes, Pipridae.